UAUGGCUGAGGAGAAUGGAGAAU
This 23-nucleotide non-coding RNA is filed under the name Cricetulus griseus (Chinese hamster). Lineage: Eukaryota; Metazoa; Chordata; Mammalia; Rodentia; Cricetidae. The record is from RNAcentral.